Molecule: ribosomal RNA, 385 nt
Filed under: uncultured bacterium
Lineage: Bacteria
Description: bacterial SSU rRNA
Rfam family: Bacterial small subunit ribosomal RNA
Source: RNAcentral
CUUGAUCGUGAUGAGCAUGCCGCGUGAGUGAUGACGGCCUUCGGGUUGUAAAGCUCUUUUGUUAGGGAAGAACACGUACCGGAGUAUAUGCGCGUGCCUUGACCGUACCUAAACAGAAAGCCCCGGCUAACUACGUGCCCGCAGCCGCGGUAAUACGUAGGGGGCAAGCGUUAUUCGGAAUUAUUGGGCGUAAAGCGCGCGCAGGCGGUUUUUUAAGUCUGAUGUGAAAGCCCCGGGCUCAACCUGGGAAGUGCAUUGGAAACUGGGGGACUUGAGUGCGGAAGAGGAAAGUGGAAUUCCACGUGUAGCGGUGAAAUGCGUUGAGAUGUGGAGGAACUUGCGUGGCCAAGGCGGCCUUCUGGGCUGGUACUGACGCUGAGGCGCG